RNAcentral lists this ribosomal RNA (250 nucleotides) under uncultured Eubacteriales bacterium. RNAcentral's name for it is "uncultured Clostridiales bacterium partial 16S ribosomal RNA". It matches the Rfam family "Bacterial small subunit ribosomal RNA", at positions 84 to 334 of the family's 1533-position model. Lineage: Bacteria; Bacillati; Bacillota; Clostridia; Eubacteriales. The record is from RNAcentral.
AGAGCGGAUUAGCGGCGGACGGGUGAGUAACACGUGAGUAACCUGCCUUAGACAUUGGGAUAGCCUCGGGAAACCGGGAUUAAUACCAAAUAAAAUCAUAAUGACACAUGUCAUAACGAUCAAAACUCCGGUGGUCUAAGAUGGACUCGCGUCCCAUUAGCUAGUUGGUAGAGUAAAAGCCUACCAAGGCGACGAUGGGUAGCCGGCCUGAGAGGGUGAACGGCCACAUUGGAACUGGGAAACGGUCCAA